Molecule: ribosomal RNA, 499 nt
Filed under: uncultured bacterium
Lineage: Bacteria
Description: partial 16S ribosomal RNA
Rfam family: Bacterial small subunit ribosomal RNA
Source: RNAcentral
AUUGAACGCUGGCGGCAUGCUUUACACAUGCAAGUCGAACGGUAACAGGGUGCUUGCACCGCUGACGAGUGGCGAACGGGUGAGUAAUGCGUCGGAACGUGCCGAGUAGUGGGGGAUAACGCAGCGAAAGUUGUGCUAAUACCGCAUACGUACUGAGGUAGAAAGUGGGGGACCUUCGGGCCUCACGCUAUUCGAGCGGCCGACGUCUGAUUAGCUAGUAGGUGAGGUAAAGGCUCACCUAGUCGACGAUCAGUAGCGGGUCUGAGAGGAUGACCCGCCACACCGGGACUGGGACACGGCCCAGACUCCUACGGGAGGCAGCAGUGGGAAUUUUGGACAAUGGGCGAAAGCCUGAUCCAGCCAUGCCGCGUGUCUGAAGAAGGCCCUCGGGUUGUAAACUGCUUUUGUACGGAACGAAACGGUCUGGGUUAAUACCCUGGGCUAAUGACGGUACCGUAAGAAUAAGCACCGGCUAACUACGUGCCAGCAGCCGCCGUAA